RNAcentral lists this long non-coding RNA (646 nucleotides) under Marmota monax (woodchuck). Lineage: Eukaryota; Metazoa; Chordata; Mammalia; Rodentia; Sciuridae. The record is from RNAcentral.
UCUGGGAUUUGAGAAUGCAGAGUGUCCUGCCUCCUAGACAAGGACGUGGCAGUGCCAGCUCCUUGUGCAGGGCCCUCAGUUGGCCACUCUGCUGCUUUGGGUGGGUCACACGGGGCUUCCGGAGCCGCCAGAAAGAGCAGGGGAAGUGGGGGUGGGAGGCUGAGUGCACUGUGGACGGGUUGUGGAGCAUUGUGCAACAGAACUUCUGUGAUGUUGGGGUGGAAGGUUGUCGGGUUCUGCACCUUGUGACUGUUGGACACCAAGACGCCGGCACCCCGGCCUUGAGCACCCUGGGCCAGGGUAACCCCUGAGCCGCACCCAGCCUAGAACCAGAACUUCUCAAUGUAAGUGACCGCCUGCAGCUAGUCCAGGCCAGUGACUGCUGUGCUGAGCUGUGGCAGGUCCAGAUCUCCGGCUCCUUCAUUCCUCCAGCCACAUUCCUGGAACCUCUGUACUGGGGCCGGGGGGCACAGUGGGGAAAACAGAUUAAAAGCCCAGCCCUGGUGACACUCAGCGCCUAGUGGGAGACAGGACAAUAAACCAGAUAAGCCUGUGACCUAAUCAGGAGUCAGGUGAUAGUGAGUCCUAUCUGGAAGGCAGGUGCAGGCGUGGGAUGGCAGGGGUGGUCAGGGGUGGUCAGAGGAGG